Molecule: ribosomal RNA, 246 nt
Filed under: uncultured bacterium
Lineage: Bacteria
Description: partial 16S ribosomal RNA
Rfam family: Bacterial small subunit ribosomal RNA
Source: RNAcentral
GGUGCAAACGUUGCUCGGAAUCAUUGGGCGUAAAGCGCACGUAGGCGGCCUCGCAAGUCUGAUGUGAAAUCCCUCGGCUCAACCGAGGACGUGCAUCGGAAACUGCGGGGCUUGAGUACUGAAGAGGAUCGCGGAAUUCCCGGUGUAGAGGUGAAAUUCGUAGAUAUCGGGAGGAACACCAGUGGCGAAGGCGGCGAUCUGGGCAGAUACUGACGCUGAGGUGCGAAAGCGUGGGGAGCAAACAGG